This 180-nucleotide ribosomal RNA is filed under the name uncultured fungus. RNAcentral's name for it is "partial 18S ribosomal RNA". It matches the Rfam family "Eukaryotic small subunit ribosomal RNA", at positions 547 to 726 of the family's 1831-position model. The record is from RNAcentral. Lineage: Eukaryota; Fungi.
UUUGGAGGGCACAGCUGGUGCCAGCAGCCGCGGUAAUUCCAGCUCCAAUAGCGUAUAUUAAAGUUGUUGCAGUUAAAAAGCUCGUAGUUGAAUUUCGGGGUUAGUAGGUUGGUCAUGCCUCUGGUAUGUACUGGUCUCACUGAUUCCUCCUUCCUGAUGAACCGUAAUGCCAUUAAUUUG